CCUACGGGCGGCAGCAGUGGGGAAUCUUGCGCAAUGGGCGAAAGCCUGACGCAGCGACGCCGCGUGGGUGAUGAAGGCCUUCGGGUCGUAAAGCUCUGUGGGGAGAGACGAAUAAGACGUGGCUAACAUCCACGGCGAUGACGGUAUCUCCUUAGCAAGCACCGGCUAACUCUGUGCCAGCAGCCGCGGUAAGACAGAGGGUGCAAACGUUGUUCGGAAUUACUGGGCGUAAAGCGUGUGUAGGCGGCCAUGUAAGUUGGAUGUGAAAGCCCGGGGCUCAACCCCGGAAGUGCAUUCAAUACUGCGUGGCUUGAGUAUCGGAGAGGUUGGUGGAAUUCUCGGUGUAGAGGUGAAAUUCGUAGAUAUCGAGAGGAACACCGGUGGCGAAGGCGGCCAACUGGACGAAUACUGACGCUGAGACACGAAAGCGUGGGGAGCAAACAGGAUUAGAUACCCCAGUAGUC
RNAcentral lists this ribosomal RNA (464 nucleotides) under uncultured Polyangiaceae bacterium. RNAcentral describes it as "bacterial SSU rRNA". It matches the Rfam family "Bacterial small subunit ribosomal RNA", at positions 338 to 795 of the family's 1533-position model. The record is from RNAcentral. Lineage: Bacteria; Pseudomonadati; Myxococcota; Polyangiales; Polyangiaceae.